GAUGAACGCUGGCGGCGUGCCUAACACAUGCAAGUCGAACGAACGCACGGGAACUUGGCGCCUCUGGUGUUAGCGGCGGAGGGGAGAGUAACACGUGGACAACCUACCUAUAGGACUGGGGUAACUCCGGGAAACCGUAGCUACUACCGAAUAAUUUUUUGAACCGGAGGGGGCCAACGUGAAAGACGGUCUUGGGGUCGGUUAAAGCCUGAUCAGCGCUGCAUUAGUUAGUUGGCAAGGUAACGGCUUACCAAGGCAACGAUGCAUAGCGGACCUGAGGGGGUGAUCGGCCACACUGGAACUGAGACACGGUCCAGACUCCGACGGGAGGCCGCAGUAGGGAAUCUUCCGGGAGGGGCGAAAGCGUGACAGAGCAACGCCGCGUGAGUGAUGAAGGUCUUAGGAUCGUAAAACUCUGUUAUUAGGGAAGAACAUAUGUGUAAGUAACUGUGCACAUCAUGACGGUACCUAAUCAGAAAGCCACGGCUAACUACGUG
Molecule: ribosomal RNA, 497 nt
Filed under: uncultured bacterium
Lineage: Bacteria
Description: partial 16S ribosomal RNA
Rfam family: Bacterial small subunit ribosomal RNA
Source: RNAcentral